AAGAAAGGGAAUCUAAUUUACUCUUUCGGUGUUGGACAGAUUCGCCAGCCAUGUCUCCCAGCAAGUUCGACUCCACUGUAACCAAAACUCUCUCCUUUUCUGUAUAUUAUCUGUGCUUCUUCUUUUGGAUUCUCAGAUGUUGAUUGUGUCUAUUCUUCUAUGGUGUCCACUAAAGCUUGGAUUGAUUGCGUUCUUGGCAUUUAGAUUUUUUCAGUACUUGUUGAACAUGGAGCUCCUCUGACUGUGGGUUGCUGGGUUGGUAGUAUAUUCCUUGCCUCUUUGUGAUAAUGAAGCAGUGGGAAAAAAGUUUGAUGGUCAAAAGUGCGUUCAGUUUGUGCAAGCUGUAAUUUUUAAGAUUUUGUGUUGCCUAGUUUUUGAAUGUGGGAUGGAUUCAGUUUGUGGAAGUACGGAUUUCAUGUGUUGAAUUCCGGGUUGAGGGUGAAAUAUACUUUAGGAUCGAUAGUUCACACAAUUUUGGUGGUUGUUGGUUUUUUUUUUUUCGCACAAAUAUUUUGAAAAAUCGCGUUAUCUUAAUUUGUAUCUUGAUAUAUAAUUUAUCCGAUGAGAAUUCUAAAAAUACAAAGAGAAGGAUUGGAUUGACUUACAUCAGAAGCACUGUUCAGUCUUAACAGUGACGACUUCAUGCAAAAUUUGUUGAAAGGCGGCCGGAUCACGUCCUUAUCCAGAAGCGCUAGGGUAAUUAAUAUUUAUGCCUGUACACAGCGGAAGCUCUCUGCUAGUGCGGGGGGUUCAAAUCUGCCUGUUGAUAAUGUGGCUUGCAUGCAGCCCUGUUGGACCUGUACAGGAGUAAUUUUGUGUGGCGAUCGUUUAAGAUAGCAACAAUCAAAAUAAUCAGGCAGAUUAUUGCUGAAGGAAAGGCUUCUGCUCAAGCUGAGGCAGCUGAAUGGAAGCGUAAAUAUGAACUGGAGAGAGCACGAAAUCUGCAAAUGGAGUGCAAAGAGCAUGGUAGUGAUGUUGAUGAUGCAAGAAUGGGGAACUUGGUCAACCAACCAGUGUGGUGCAGUGAAGCAAAUGAGCAAUUUGAAAAGUGCUGCAGGAAUGGACUUUGCUCGCAUGAAGUUCUUCGAGAUGGGGAAACUGAUUUUGAUUCUAAGAUGGUCAGAAAGGCUUCAUUUAAACUUUCAUAGUGCUGCAAAGGCCAACAAAGUGAUCAGCACAAACAUGACAUUGUCUCCUUUGAAAGAGGGAAUAUAACAACUGCAGAACGAAGCAGUAAGCAGAUGGUUGAGGGAACAGAAAAAAUUGGACAUAUAUGUUGAGCCACGUGUGCGAGUUGAACUUCUUACUUCAGUUUUGUACAAACAUGGAAAGAUGAGAAGGAAAUUUUGCUCCUGCAUACAAAAGUUGACCUUGUGGUAACUCUUGGUUGGGAUGGAACAGUCCUUUGGGUUUGUGCAUUUACUUUUAGCUGUAUUGAAUGAAUUAGAACGUGUUAUAGAAUUAAAAUAUUAAUUUAGGGCACUUAUAAAAAUGUAUUAACAUAGUAUAUGAUAAACGUGAAGCAUUAGUUUUCCAAUAUGUUAGCCAAAAAUAUUUGCAAUGCACUUUGAAAUUAGAUUGUUCCAUUUGGUGGCACUCCAUGUAUGUGUGGUAUUUAAUGUUAACACCAGGUAACUUACCCAAAAAAAAUGAAUGGCCUAGAUCAGUGGAUGGUUAACACGUAUAGAAAACUAAGGAACCAUGGGAUUUUUCUAUAAUCUUGUAUUUAAAAUCUCUAGGGGUGCUUAAGAUUCAUAGAAGUAUACUUGUCAACUCUGAAGAGAAUACUGCAUUUUUUGGUUUUUCCUGAUUUUCUUUACUUUUUGGUUUUCCAGAUUUUACAAUCAUUGCAAGUAAGCUUUUCUAAAUAUGAUCAUUUUUUCAUUAAUUAUCUCUAAGGUAAUAUGCAUAAUGCUUGUCUAAUUCAGUGUAAGAGUGGGUUUAUUCUUGGAAAUGAAGUCUAAAACCCUGGAAUCUGCAUCAACUGAAUUUCAUGCUACACAAUGAUAUCUAUUUCUUUCAGAUUCUUUUGCUUUCAGACUGUACUUGGCAAUUAUUAUCAACUGAUUUUUAGGCAGGAUCCAUGUUCAAAGGACCAGUUCCUCCCAUCGUCCCAUUUUCUUUAGGGUCUCUUGGCUUUCCGAAUCCUCCUCCUUGUUUAAAGGCGUUUGUUUCUCUAACAAUUUGAUAAUUUAAUGACACCACUUUAUACAACCCACACCUUUUUAUGACAUCUUUCACAUAAUUGUUGGCUUUCUCCUAUCUGACUGCAAGUUGGUCCUUAAUAUUCUUCAGACUCUGAAAAUUACAGAGAAUGCCUUGACUCUGUUUUUCAGGGUCCAAUUAGUAUCACAUUACGGCACCGUUUGCAGUGUCAAGUUAUUAGGGAUGUGGCUAAAAAUGAGUAUGAUAGUGAAGAACCAAUACUUGUUUUGAAAGAGGUUACAAUUGAUCGUGGAAUAUCAUGAUCAUACCUUACAAAUUUGGAAUGCUAUUGUGACGACUCCCCUUUGUCACUUCUGUCCAAGGGGAUGGUUUAAUUUUAUCUACAACCUCUAGCAGUACUGCAUAUUCGUUGGCGGCUGGAGGAUCAAUGGUCCAUCCACAUUUGUUGCCUCCAUAUCUUACAAUAAGAUCAGUGUUAUAUAAUUUAGGCAUGCAAUGUUACAAGGAAAUUUAUUUCUUUGGGUUUUAUAGGAUAAUUCAUGCUUAUUAUCCAGAAAGAUAUUUGAGUUAGAAUAUCUUAUAAUUGAAGGCUACAUUGAAUUUGCCUUGUGUAAUCUUGCAAGUGGAAAGCCUA
Molecule: RNA transcript, 2800 nt
Organism: Juglans regia (Persian walnut)
Lineage: Eukaryota; Viridiplantae; Streptophyta; Magnoliopsida; Fagales; Juglandaceae
Gene name: NAD(H) kinase 1-like
Exons: 5
Source: RefSeq, a predicted model, not a curated record